Molecule: long non-coding RNA, 343 nt
Filed under: Heterocephalus glaber (naked mole-rat)
Lineage: Eukaryota; Metazoa; Chordata; Mammalia; Rodentia; Bathyergidae
Description: lncRNA (ENSHGLG00000034198.1)
Source: RNAcentral
GUCCUAUAGAUCUAUGGAUUUGAACUGUCUUCAUCAUCACACCUCGAAAUGCUUGAUAAGACAAGCUGUUGCUUUCUCAUCUGAAGAUCCCCUUACAGAAGGACAACAAAUGACAUGAUUUUGGACUUCAAUGGGAAACUGUGGGAAAUCCCAGACAGCACUCCAACUCCAACUUCCACUGAUCUUCAUAGAAGAUAAUCAUUGCUGACUCUGUUACUGCUUGGGCUGUAAAAUCACUGUCAUUAUAAAUGGAAAAGCUAAUCCUAAUCUGAAGGAAGGUUUUAAGAAUAUUUUCCACAAGAAGUAAAUCUGUAGAGGUUUGUGCUUAAAUGUUAUGAAGGUG